This 465-nucleotide ribosomal RNA is filed under the name uncultured Klebsiella sp. Its description in RNAcentral is "bacterial SSU rRNA". It matches the Rfam family "Bacterial small subunit ribosomal RNA", at positions 338 to 795 of the family's 1533-position model. Lineage: Bacteria; Pseudomonadati; Pseudomonadota; Gammaproteobacteria; Enterobacterales; Enterobacteriaceae. The record is from RNAcentral.
CCUACGGGGGGCUGCAGUGGGAAAUAUUGCACAAUGGGCGCAAGCCUGAUGCAGCCAUGCCGCGUGUGUGAAGAAGGCCUUCGGGUUGUAAAGCACUUUCAGCGGGGAGGAAGGCGUUAAGGUUAAUAACCUUGUCGAUUGACGUUACCCGCAGAAGAAGCACCGGCUAACUCCGUGCCAGCAGCCGCGGUAAUACGGAGGGUGCAAGCGUUAAUCGGAAUUACUGGGCGUAAAGCGCACGCAGGCGGUCUGUCAAGUCGGAUGUGAAAUCCCCGGGCUCAACCUGGGAACUGCAUUCGAAACUGGCAGGCUAGAGUCUUGUAGAGGGGGGUAGAAUUCCAGGUGUAGCGGUGAAAUGCGUAGAGAUCUGGAGGAAUACCGGUGGCGAAGGCGGCCCCCUGGACAAAGACUGACGCUCAGGUGCGAAAGCGUGGGGAGCAAACAGGAUUAGAUACCCGUGUAGUC